Molecule: ribosomal RNA, 497 nt
Filed under: uncultured bacterium
Lineage: Bacteria
Description: partial 16S ribosomal RNA
Rfam family: Bacterial small subunit ribosomal RNA
Source: RNAcentral
GAUGAACGCUGGCGGCGUGCCUAAUACAUGCAAGUCGAGCGAACAGACGAGGAGCUUGCUCCUCUGACGUUAGCGGCGGACGGGUGAGUAACACGUGGAUAACCUACCUAUAAGACUGGGAUAACUUCGGGAAACCGGAGCUAAUACCGGAUAAUAUAUUGAACCGCAUGGUUCAAUAGUGAAAGACGGUUUUGCUGUCACUUAUAGAUGGAUCCGCGCCGCAUUAGCUAGUUGGUAAGGUAACGGCUUACCAAGGCGACGAUGCGUAGCCGACCUGAGAGGGUGAUCCGCCACACUGGAACGGAGACACGGUCCAGACUCCUACGGGAGGCAGCAGUAGGGAAUCUUCCGCAAUGGUCGAAAGCCUGACGGAGCAACGCCGCGUGAGUGAUGAAGGUCUUCGGAUCGUAAAACUCUGUUAUUAGGGAAGAACAAAUGUGUAAGUAACUAUGCACGUCUUGACGGUACCUAAUCAGAAAGCCACGGCUAACUACGUG